AGAAUGGUGAACAGCAAGGUCAACUACAGAGGAGUUUUUAAAAGCAAAAUUUAGGGGAAAGGCACCACUUCACUGACCCAAGAGAGCUUUUGUUACCAAACAGUGAAACCAGAAGGUGUUUUCCCGUCUCUGUCGAAAGAAGUCAUGUGCUGGUCUGGAGAGAAUGAUUUUUGUUGCAGCUGAAUUCAGAACCCAAAGCACCUCUGAUUAUCCACUGCUUAGGCAGAACACAGGCAGAAGAUAAAGUGUUCCUGUUAAUGUGCUUCCGCUCUCCCCUAAAGGAGUGAUUUCCAGGAGUGGAGAGGAAGACCAUGUCUACAGAAAUCUUGGCAACCUCUUAUCCAGGAAGACUAUGGAGAUUUCAUGAUCUUGCUGUUGUUUGCAACAAGACUUUAUAGAUGAGGAAACAGGCUCGGAACAGUUGCAGGACUCGAGGAGCUGAGUGUCGGAGCCAGGAAUCAAACAGCUGUGAGGGUCAGGCUCCAGGCCUGUUUUCCUCUCAUUCUUCCUCACCACGGCGCCCACAGUGCAGCAUUCCACCUGGUGCUAAGGCCGUCAGGACAGGCUACAAAAUACUAUUGUACCCACAACGUACUUGUAGCUACUCUAGUUCCAACAGAACCCAACAUCAGCGCCUAAGCCCAGGGAGGAGUGUGGCUUUCUGCGCCCCUCCUCCCUCCUUUUCCCUUGAGAGGAAAUUACACGCACUCUUCAGCAUACUGCUGAGUCUCUGCAAGCCCUGCCAGCCCGCAGGAAGGUUCCAGGAGCAGGAUCUGCAAUGGCCUUGAAGUUCCUUCCAGAAGCCUUUCCUGACCUCCCUUUCUCCGAACUCAUCAACAUGGUCAUCAACAUGGUCCCUAAAUUACCUGCUGCCUUUUCUAUUUAUUUAUUUACUUUCUGUUUUUCUCUCCAAUAGAGAGUAGGGUCUUUUAGAGGCAAGGACUGUGACUU
This 951-nucleotide long non-coding RNA is filed under the name Equus caballus (horse). RNAcentral's name for it is "lncRNA (ENSECAG00000051371.1)". Lineage: Eukaryota; Metazoa; Chordata; Mammalia; Perissodactyla; Equidae. The record is from RNAcentral.